CCUACGGGCGGCAGCAGUGGGGAAUAUUGCGCAAUGGGCGAAAGCCUGACGCAGCGACGCCGCGUGAAGGAAGAAGGCUUUCGGGUUGUAAACUUCUUUUGUCAGGGACGAAGCAAGUGACGGUACCUGACGAAUAAGCCACGGCUAACUACGUGCCAGCAGCCGCGGUAAUACGUAGGUGGCAAGCGUUGUCCGGAUUUACUGGGUGUAAAGGGUGCGUAGGCGGCUUGGCAAGUCAGUAGUGAAAUCCAUGGGCUUAACCCAUGAACUGCUAUUGAAACUGUCGAGCUUGAGUGAAGUAGAGGUAGGCGGAAUUCCCGGUGUAGCGGUGAAAUGCGUAGAGAUCGGGAGGAACACCAGUGGCGAAGGCGGCCUACUGGGCUUUAACUGACGCUGAGGCACGAAAGCGUGGGUAGCAAACAGGAUUAGAUACCCUUGUAGUC
RNAcentral lists this ribosomal RNA (443 nucleotides) under uncultured bacterium. Its description in RNAcentral is "partial 16S ribosomal RNA". It matches the Rfam family "Bacterial small subunit ribosomal RNA", at positions 338 to 795 of the family's 1533-position model. The record is from RNAcentral.